AUUGAACGCUGGCGGCAGGCCUAACACAUGCAAGUCGAGCGGAUGAAGGGAGCUUGCUCCUGGAUUCAGCGGCGGACGGGUGAGUAAUGCCUAGGAAUCUGCCUGGUAGUGGGGGAUAACGUCCGGAAACGGGCGCUAAUACCGCAUACGUCCUGAGGGAGAAAGUGGGGGAUCUUCGGACCUCACGCUAUCAGAUGAGCCUAGGUCGGAUUAGCUAGUUGGUGGGGUAAAGGCCUACCAAGGCGACGAUCCGUAACUGGUCUGAGAGGAUGAUCAGUCAACACGGAACCUGGGACACGUCCCAGACCCCUAGGGAGGCAGCAGUGGGGAAUAUUGGACAAUGGGCGAAAGCCUGAUCCAGCCAUGCCGCGUGUGUGAAGAAGGUCUUCGGAUUGUAAAGCACUUUAAGUUGGGAGGAAGGGCAGUAAGUUAAUACCUUGCUGUUUUGACGUUACCAACAGAAUAAGCACCGGCUAACUUCGUG
RNAcentral lists this ribosomal RNA (484 nucleotides) under uncultured bacterium. RNAcentral's name for it is "partial 16S ribosomal RNA". It matches the Rfam family "Bacterial small subunit ribosomal RNA", at positions 30 to 507 of the family's 1533-position model. The record is from RNAcentral.